GGUUAAAAAGCUCGUAGUUGGAUUUCUGUUGAGGGCGACCGGUGUACACCUCGUGUAUUAUUUGGUUCGGUCUCGGCAUCCUCUUGGGGAACGUUUCUGGACUUUAUUGGACAGGGCGAGAUUCAAGACUUUUACUUUGAGGAAAUUAGAGUGUUCACGGCAGGCAAGCGCUUUGAAUACAUUAGCAUGGAAUAAUAAUAUAGGACCUUCGUUCUAUUUUGUUGGUUUCUAGAACUUAGGUAAUGAUUAAUAGGGACAAUUGGGGGCAUUCGUAUUAACGCGUCAGAGGUGGAAUUCUUGGAUUGCGUUACGACGAACUACUGCGAAAGCAUUUGCCAAAGAUGUUUUCAUUGAUCAGGAACGAAAGUAUGGGGAUCGAAGACGCUUAGAUACCGUCGUAGUCUAUACCAUAAACUAUGCCAACUAGAGAUUGGUGGGGUUCUCCUAUUUGGCUCCAUCAGCAUCUUAUGAGAAAUCAAAGUCUUUGGGUUCCGGGGGGAGUAUGGUCGCAAGGCUGAAACUUAAAGGAAUUGACGGAAGGGCACCACCAGGAGUGGAGCCUGCGGCUUAAUUUGACUCAACACGGGAAAACUUACCAGGUCCAGACAUAGUAAGGAUUGACAGAUUGAUAGCUC
Molecule: ribosomal RNA, 635 nt
Filed under: uncultured marine eukaryote
Lineage: Eukaryota
Description: SSU rRNA
Rfam family: Eukaryotic small subunit ribosomal RNA
Source: RNAcentral